RNAcentral lists this long non-coding RNA (753 nucleotides) under Lonchura striata (white-rumped munia). RNAcentral describes it as "domestica (Bengalese finch) lncRNA (ENSLSDG00000010514.1)". Lineage: Eukaryota; Metazoa; Chordata; Aves; Passeriformes; Estrildidae. The record is from RNAcentral.
CGGGGCCCGCGCGCCGCUCCCGGCAGCCGCGGCUCGGCAGCGCGGGAGGGAGCGCCGCCGGCCCGGGGCCCGCUAAGGACUCGGAGCGGACCUCACACUACUUCCAGUCUAGUUCCAGCUCCCGCCACCGGCUCCCACUAGACCAGUUGGUACCCAUUACUCAUGGUCCUGUCGCUACUGCAGCUCCUGACAGUCCCUGUCUGGCUUCCUUCAGAUACUGGAAGGUCGCCAUGAGGUCUUCACACAAACUUCUCCACGCCUGAAGAGCCCCAGCUUUCUCAGCCUGUUGUCAUAGGGCAUUUCAAGACCACCAACAGCAUAGCAACAGACCUUCAGAUCUUGAUGAACGAAGCUUGAGCCCAGACUCAACUUACACCUUUGUUAGGACAUGAGUCUAUAACAACCAACUUACAUCAUGUUGAAGGUAGGUAUUUAAAGGAGGUUUAUUUGGGCUAAUGCUAAAUUCAAACAGCCACAAGCUCAUUUUCCAUGUUUACCACACCAACUGCUGACAGAUGAAGUCUCAGUGGAAAGUCCAAAUUUUAAUUUCACCGUAACUUCCUGAAACAUGACUACAGAUUUCAAUAUUUGGCAUUUGAUCCUCGAGAGAGAUACCAUGUUUAAGAACAUUCUACCAAAUACAUUUAAAUUAUACUCCAAAACAAUUCGGAAGUUUUGAAACAUAAAACUGUUAGUAUGAAAUUAGUUUUUAUUUUUUUACCUCAAAAUAAAUGCACAUUUAUCAUUUAGUCA